RNAcentral lists this unclassified non-coding RNA (244 nucleotides) under uncultured fungus. Its description in RNAcentral is "sequence contains ITS1". The record is from RNAcentral. Lineage: Eukaryota; Fungi.
GUAUUGAUUGCGUACAACCGCAAAGUAAGGUGGGACAUUCUACACUGUGUUUGUGUAAAAAGCGCAAGCCCCACUUGGAUCGAACCGACCCAAAGGAACCCACGCGGUGAUGCACAAAGGGGGGUUGUGUGGUGGAUGUGUGAGGACGCUCGGGGCGUGCACGACCUCGAAAUGGGAGGUCAGCGACAGCCCUGGCGCCUCUCGUCAUACGAUAAUGAUCCUUCCGCAGGUUCACCUACGGAAA